CCUAACGGUUCGUUUGGAUGUUUGCUUUCACGCUUGGCAUUAGACAUUGGCAUCCCGCAGGCCCGAAUAUCCCGAAAUCACAGUGUUUGGAUGGCCUAGGUAUUCAUGUGAUGCAUUCGGGCUGAAUAUUGAGGUUCCCAGAGUUGGCCUACGGAGCCCACUCCCGAAUACAGAGGCCAGGACCUAAACAUUGCUAGGCAUUCGCUCCUCUCAUCUCCCCCCGUCACCCGUCAGACGUCAGUCCUUCAUCUAGUCCCCAACCCCGCUCGACAGGAGUUGACUCGCGCCUGAGCUAAGGAUCGUCGCCGGCGGCACGGGUACCACUGCCGCCCAUCCCGCCCUCCUCCUCCGGCAAGAGCACGCCGACCACUCCACCGACCUCCGGCAUCGGGUGCUCCUCCACCCGAGCUCCGGCGGCCCGCACAGGUGCGUUUCCGUAGCCCGCCACCCCUCACUCUUCCCAUAGCUCGGGCGGGCGGCCUCCUCCCCUCUCCCCUGUGUGCAGCACACGCGGGCGAGUUGAAGAAGACGACCGCAACCUACACCCCGAUGGCCCGAUCUAUCCAUGUCACAGAUAGGGCUGCAAGUUUGUUGACUGAAACCUUGUAAUACAGGAUAUGAGUAAUCCUAGUCGAAUCACGUAUCCUCUCCGACACCUGUAACCUGAUCUAAAAUUGAUAUGAAUAUACUUUGGAUGUGGGUGUGAUGUUGCUUGCGAGAGUGAUAUGAAUUUGUUUUGUAAAAUGAACUUGUCAAAAUGCUCGCAGAGUGUGUAUGUUGUUGUUUGUGGAACUGCUAUGUAUAAUGAGUUGUAAAAUUGUGUUUGUAAUAAAUAGUAUAAUGAUCAAAGUCUAGUACAAGUGCAA
Long non-coding RNA from Lolium perenne, 866 nucleotides. RefSeq lists it as uncharacterized. The record is from RefSeq and is a predicted model, not a curated record. Lineage: Eukaryota; Viridiplantae; Streptophyta; Magnoliopsida; Poales; Poaceae.